RNAcentral lists this unclassified non-coding RNA (253 nucleotides) under uncultured Caryophanales bacterium. RNAcentral's name for it is "uncultured Bacillales bacterium contains 16S-23S intergenic spacer region". It matches the Rfam family "Bacterial small subunit ribosomal RNA", at positions 524 to 776 of the family's 1533-position model. Lineage: Bacteria; Bacillati; Bacillota; Bacilli; Caryophanales. The record is from RNAcentral.
UACGUAGGUGGCAAGCGUUGUCCGGAAUUAUUGGGCGUAAAGCGCGCGCAGGCGGUCCCUUAAGUCUGAUGUGAAAGCCCACGGCUCAACCGUGGAGGGUCAUUGGAUACUGGACGUCUUGAAUCUAGAAGAGGUCGGUGGAAUUCGUGGUGUAGCGGUGAAAUGCAUAGAUAUCACGAAGAACAUCAGUGGCGAAGGCGGCCGACUGGUCUAGGAUUGACGCUGAGGUGCGAAAGCGUGGGUAGCAAACAGG